GACGAACGCUGGCGGCGUGCCUAAUACAUGCAAGUCGAGCGGACUUUCAAGAAGCUUGCUUUUUGAAAGUUAGCGGCGGACGGGUGAGUAACACGUGGGCAACCUGCCUGCAAGACGGGGAUAACUCCGGGAAACCGGGGCUAAUACCGGAUAAUAUCUUCCUUCGCAUGAAGGAAGGUUGAAAGGCGGCGCAAGCUGCCGCUUGCAGAUGGGCCCGCGGCGCAUUAGCUAGUUGGUGAGGUAACGGCUCACCAAGGCGACGAUGCGUAGCCGACCUGAGAGGGGGAUCGGCCAAACUGGGACGGAGACACGGCCCAGACUACUACGGGAGGCAGCAGUAGGGAAUCUUCCGCAAUGGACGCAAGGCUGACGGAGCAACGCCGCGUGAGCGAAGAAGGUCGUCGGAUCGUAAAGCUCUGUUGUCAGGGAAGAACAAGUACCGUUCGAACAGGACGGUACCUUGACGGUACCUGAACAGAAAGCCACGGCUAACUACGUG
This 499-nucleotide ribosomal RNA is filed under the name uncultured bacterium. RNAcentral describes it as "partial 16S ribosomal RNA". It matches the Rfam family "Bacterial small subunit ribosomal RNA", at positions 28 to 507 of the family's 1533-position model. The record is from RNAcentral.